UCCAUUCUGUAAUCCUACUGGAGGCCUGU
RNAcentral lists this non-coding RNA (29 nucleotides) under Bombyx mori (domestic silkworm). Lineage: Eukaryota; Metazoa; Arthropoda; Insecta; Lepidoptera; Bombycidae. The record is from RNAcentral.